Castor canadensis (American beaver) is the source of this 2282-nucleotide non-coding RNA. The record is from RefSeq and is a predicted model, not a curated record. NCBI's taxonomy places the organism in Eukaryota, Metazoa, Chordata, Mammalia, Rodentia, Castoridae.
CAGAACCAGAGGCAGGAGAGGUGUCCCCUCCAGUCGGUGCUGGUGUCAACAGCAACAGCUGGACCUUUAAAUAUGGACCAGGCAACCCCAAACAAUCUGGUCCCGAACCUAAAAAGCAGACCCAAGUUUCCUUUCUCCUCCGCCGCAAAGGAGAGACUUCCCAGUCCUGCCAGUGAGAGUUGGACUCUCUGCCCUGUGCUCCGGGGAUCCUGUCUUGAUGACACUUGCAGGGCAGGCUGAAAGGUUUUCAGAUUGAGCAGCUUGGGUGUUUGUGGCCAUUGGGUAUGUGUGGCCACAGCAAAUGUUGGAGAGCCAGAUGUUGUCUGGGAUGGACCAGAUUAGACUAGCUGGCACAAGAAGGAUUGAGAAACACAGGCAAAUAGACAGCAGGAGUCACCAGUAUGGAGGGGAAAUAUGAAACUAAAAGGGACCAGACUUUCUAAACCUUACAACUCAAGAGGUGGUGGUCACCAUCUAGCAGACAAAACUACCCCACUGACAAGGCUUUAGGAGUCCCUAAAGUCUGUUGGCUGUGGUAUAAUUAUACCUAAAGCCCACAUUGCACCUACAAGCCAACAGUUCAGUGUUUAGCAGAGGGCCAGCCAGGGCAACAGAAGCAGAUCUGACGCAUUUCCUGUACUUGUCCUUGUGCUCACUUUAUUAAAAAUUCUUUUGCACACAAUAUGAAAAGGCAAAGUCCUUUUCCAUCAACACAUAUGCAAAAGCAAAAGAAAACCCCAAACACCUCACUUUAUGCUGUUUGUUUGAUAGAUUUAUUUAAAAAAAGAGAAACUCUAUAGCUAUAAAUCUUUAAAGAGAGAUAUGAUGAAUACAAUUCCCCUACACUUCCUUCAAAAGAGAAUUCAGUCUACAGCCAUUGAAAUGGUCAUUGCUGCUACAGAAGUGCUUUAAGAGAAUUGCCUGGAACAUCUGUAUUAUACCGGCCACCUGCCAAUCACAGCUUUACUCUUUCAGGUCACUCUGGGGCUGCCUCUUGCAUGUAUUAAUUACUGAAUAAAAGAAUCUUUCUCUCUCUCUCUCUUUUCUAAGAAAAAAAAUGAUGUGCACUUUGAAUACACGACAUUCUCUAACCAAUUAUAUCAAGACCCAGAAAUUGAAGAAAAAUAUUGUUUUCUCAUACAUACAGUGAGCAGACUUUUCAAUCCUCUAAUUCUGUGACUUGUCUUGGUGUGCUAGCCUACACCUUCUCUUUGGUUUAGUUUUCUUUUUCUAUAACAAAACUGAAAUGCUAAUCUUGCUAACACCUAUGAUGUUACCUGAAAUCAAUCUCCCAUAUGUAUGCUGUAUGCUAUUAUAAGACUCCUGAAAUAUACUUACUCUGUGCUUGUGUAUGUGAAUGUUAAUGCAACUAUUACCUAGAGUGAACUUUAAGCUUUAUUGUUGAAUGUAAUCCCAUUAUAUUUCCUUUUGUACACCUGUGGAAAAGUGGAGUAGUGUUUUUUUAACCAUUGUUAAUCAGCUUUUGUGUAUGAAAGACACAGUAAAAUUUCUUUCUUAAAUCAAGAUACUGGUGAUUCAAGGAAUUUUAUUUAUGGUCAGCCAAGAGCUGUCUCUUGCCAAGACUCCUGCUGGCAAGGGAAUGAAUAGAGCUGUUUUUUCUAGUAACAGUUCUGGAAUGAAUACUGAAGAUAUUCCCUGAGGGUGUGCAAGCACAAAUUUUACCAAUCUGAUCUCCUUGAAGUUGCAGAAUGCUUUGAAGUUCUAAUGCUACUGGAAUAUCAGCUCAUUGAAAAUAAUAAAUUUUGCUGUCACCUUAAAUAAGACAUUUUAAUUUUGUUAUGCACAAUUUAGAAGUUUGAUUAGUUAUAUUAUCUAUUAAAACAUUAAUAUAAAAGAUAAAGGAGUCUGUUAUAAAAAGGCAUUAAAUCUCAAAAAAAGUGUCUUGUCUACUUUUAGCUUCAUUCUCCCAUAUUUUCAAGGGUGUGUAACUUCAGCUUUGCAGGAUUGCACGGGGUAAAACUUGUUGCCAACACAUGUGAACCAUUGCUACAUUGUAGGUUGUGAUCAUUUUGCCCCUCUGAAGCCCAUGUAACUGACCUUACGUGCCUUUUGAACUAGGAGAAUCGGGCUAAUUUAUUAAUGAUGAUAAUUACUAUGUAUCUGUAUAGCACUUUUUAAAUUUGUGAAGUGCUCUCCAAUCCAUGUUAGUUACUAGUUAUUACAGCUGUAAGGAUAAAACACAUCCAUGUGGAUUCAUUUUUAAUUGGUGCUAUUGGUAUUUCCUCUGUUAUUGCUAAUAAAUGGAAAAUGGUGGUAUGAAA